GAUGAACGCUGGCGGCGUGCCUAAUACAUGCCAGUCGAGCGAACAGACGAGGAGCUUGCUCCUCUGACGUUAGCGGCGGACGGGUGAGUAACACGUGGAUGACCUACCUAUAAGACUGGGAUAACUUCGGGAAACCGGAGCUAAUACCGGAUAAUAUAUUGAACCGCAUGGUUCAAUAGUGAAAGACGGUUUUGCUGUCACUUAUAGAUGGAUCCGCGCCGCAUUAGCUAGUUGGUAAGGUAACGGCUUACCAAGGCGACGAUGCGUAGCCGACCUGAGAGGGUGAUCGGCCACACUGGAACUGAGACACGGUCCAGACUCCUACGGGAGGCAGCAGUAGGGAAUCUUCCGCAAUGGGCGAAAGCCUGACGGAGCAACGCCGCGUGAGUGAUGAAGGUCUUCGGAUCGUAAAACUCUGUUAUUAGGGAAGAACAAAUGUGUAAGUAACUAUGCACGUCUUGACGGUACCUAAUCAGAAAGCCACGGCUAACUACGUG
Molecule: ribosomal RNA, 497 nt
Filed under: uncultured bacterium
Lineage: Bacteria
Description: partial 16S ribosomal RNA
Rfam family: Bacterial small subunit ribosomal RNA
Source: RNAcentral